This 450-nucleotide ribosomal RNA is filed under the name uncultured bacterium. RNAcentral's name for it is "partial 16S ribosomal RNA". It matches the Rfam family "Bacterial small subunit ribosomal RNA", at positions 354 to 796 of the family's 1533-position model. The record is from RNAcentral.
GUGGGGAAUAUUGGACAAUGGGCGAAAGCCUGAUCCAGCCAUGCCGCGUGUGUGAAGAAGGUCUUCGGAUUGUAAAGCACUUUAAGUUGGGAGGAAGGGCAGUAAGUUAAUACCUUGCUGUUUUGACGUUACCGACAGAAUAAGCACCGGCUAACUUCGUGCCAGCAGCCGCGGUAAUACGAAGGGUGCAAGCGUUAAUCGGAAUUACUGGGCGUAAAGCGCGCGUAGGUGGUUUUGUAAGUUGGAGGUGAAAUCCCCGGGCUCAACCUGGGAACUGCCUCCAAAACUGCAUGACUCGAGUACGGUAGAGGGUAGUGGAAUUUCCUGUGUAGCGGUGAAAUGCGUAGAUAUAGGAAGGAACACCAGUGGCGAAGGCGACUACCUGGACUGAUACUGACACUGAGGUGCGAAAGCGUGGGGAGCAAACAGGAUUAGAAACCCCUGUAGUCC